This 505-nucleotide long non-coding RNA is filed under the name Equus asinus (donkey). RNAcentral describes it as "lncRNA (ENSEASG00005030375.1)". Lineage: Eukaryota; Metazoa; Chordata; Mammalia; Perissodactyla; Equidae. The record is from RNAcentral.
GGAAAACAUGAUUAAUCUUAUCUUGAACAUUUAUGUUUUGCAUUCCUUUGAGAUAUCCAAGAAUUUUGGGGACAGAGUUCUGAACCCAAAGGAGGGAGGUGUUGUUGAUAAUAACAUCUGCUUCCCAAGGAUCAAGUGAGGAUAGAAAACUGUCCUUUGGUUAUGACAGUAUAUGUCGUCGAUGAUCACAUGAGAAUGUUUUCUCUUGAACAUGCAGCAGAAACAAGAUUUCCGGUGUGGGGAAAAGUAAAUGGGACUUGUUUAAACAGAGUAUGAGGAGUUGCUUUCACGAAGUUUGGCUGUGAAGAGGAGGAAAAGGAGAACCAGGGUGCUGCUGGAAGGAGGCUGAGGUAACUACUUGUUUGAAGUAAUAAUAGCAACAGUGUAUUGGGAGAUUAUAGUUUAUUGAUAAAUGAGAUGAAUGGUGUCAAUGUUAGAAGAAUUGAGAACACUCUGUUAUAAGAAAGUUAAAGGAUCUAAGAUAACAUCUGGAAGAAGAAAUAGG